AUUGAACGCUGGCGGCAGGCCUAACACAUGCAAGUCGAGCGGAUGAAGGGAGCUUGCUCCUGGAUUCAGCGGCGGACGGGUGAGUAAUGCCUAGGAAUCUGCCUGGUAGUGGGGGAUAACGUCCGGAAACGGGCGCUAAUACCGCAUACGUCCUGAGGGAGAAAGUGGGGGAUCUUCGGACCUCACGCUAUCAGAUGAGCCUAGGUCGGAUUAGCUAGUUGGUGGGGUAAAGGCCUACCAAGGCGACGAUCCGUAACUGGUCUGAGAGGAUGAUCAGUCACACUGGAACUGAGACAAGGUCCAGAAUCCUACGGGAGGCAGCAGUGGGGAAUAUUGGACAAUGGGCGAAAGCCUGAUCCAGCCAUGCCGCGUGUGUGAAGAAGGUCUUCGGAUUGUAAAGCACUUUAAGUUGGGAGGAAGGGCAGUAAGUUAAUACCUUGCUGUUUUGACGUUACCAACAGAAUAAGCACCGGCUAACUUCGUG
Molecule: ribosomal RNA, 484 nt
Filed under: uncultured bacterium
Lineage: Bacteria
Description: partial 16S ribosomal RNA
Rfam family: Bacterial small subunit ribosomal RNA
Source: RNAcentral